This 110-nucleotide non-coding RNA is filed under the name Pseudomonas veronii. It matches the Rfam family "Pseudomon-groES RNA". Lineage: Bacteria; Pseudomonadati; Pseudomonadota; Gammaproteobacteria; Pseudomonadales; Pseudomonadaceae. The record is from RNAcentral.
GUAACGGUCACCGCAAGGUUUCUGGUGGCGACACCAGACAGACUUCCGCGUUUCGCCCAGCGAACCGCGACCGGCCCCGCCGGAUUUAACCUGCCGGUACUGACACCGGC